RNAcentral lists this transfer RNA (64 nucleotides) under Sunius melanocephalus. RNAcentral's name for it is "tRNA-Phe". Lineage: Eukaryota; Metazoa; Arthropoda; Insecta; Coleoptera; Staphylinidae. The record is from RNAcentral.
AUUCAAAUAGCUUAUAUAGAGUAUGAUAUUGAAGAUAUCAAGGUAAUAAAUUUAUUUUUGAAUA